AUAUAGAUUAAGUUAUUAAGGGCGCACGGUGGAUGCCUUGGCACUAGAAGCCGAUGAAGGACGUUACUAACGACGAUAUGCUUUGGGGAGCUGUAAGUAAGCUUUGAUCCAGAGAUUUCCGAAUGGGGAAACCCAGCACGAGUUAUGUCGUGUUAUCUGCAUGUGAAUACAUAGCAUGCAAGAAGGCAGACCCGGAGAACUGAAACAUCUUAGUACCCGGAGGAAGAGAAAGAAAAAUCGAUUCCCUGAGUAGCGGCGAGCGAAACGGGAAGAGCCCAAACCAAUAAGCUUGCUUAUUGGGGUUGUAGGACACUCU
RNAcentral lists this ribosomal RNA (316 nucleotides) under Staphylococcus pseudintermedius. Its description in RNAcentral is "partial 23S ribosomal RNA". It matches the Rfam family "Bacterial large subunit ribosomal RNA", at positions 1 to 311 of the family's 2925-position model. Lineage: Bacteria; Bacillati; Bacillota; Bacilli; Caryophanales; Staphylococcaceae. The record is from RNAcentral.